CUCAUGAUGCAUUUUUAUAAUAAUAUUGAUGCCAUAUGAGGUAGUUUACCCUGGAAAGUCCACAAAAUCCUCUAAAGUAGCUGAAUUGUCUUUGUGAUUAUCUGCAAAAUUUCAGCUAUUCAGGCUUUUAUUUCUAAAAGAUGACUUAUUCUAAUUCUAACCCAACAUUCUGGAACACCUCUCCAUUAUGAAGCAGGCCCAAAGGUGGGAGUGGAGACAGCCUUUUAUUCACAUUCCAUACCCUCAAAUUCCAGCGAUGAGGGUAGGAUAUUAAGGCCCUUAUGCAUUAAGGAUCAACACAAUGGGGUAAUGGGGAUCCUGGACACUUGCUUCCCACCAGUGAAUAUUAAAUGAAGGUCCAGGAGUCUCUACAGUUACAGGAAUAAGAAGGAAACUUGAGCAGCUCAAGAGUGGUGAAAACAGUGAGAUGCUCUGGGGACAGUUCCUUGAAAAUUUCAUCUGACUCCCAGAGGUGUGUGAACGUACAAGACCUGAAGCCAGAUUCUGGAGAAAGACAACAUUUUCCUCCUUGUAUCAAGAACUCCAACUUCACCAACAGAGAACCCCUCAUAAAAGUACUCAGAAGGACAACUUGUAGUAGAAAAUAUUCUAGAGUUCUUUCCAAAGGGUUUGUAUAUUUUCUUGAAUAUAUAGUAAAUGGUAUUUCAACAAAAUUAAAUUUAGAUAAUAUAAAUAUACUAAAAACUCAUAUUACUUAACUCAAUUAGCAAGCCAUUGCUUGUCUCCAUGUGACAGCGUGUAUCUUUAGAUCUUUCUG
RNAcentral lists this long non-coding RNA (778 nucleotides) under Chinchilla lanigera (long-tailed chinchilla). RNAcentral's name for it is "lncRNA (ENSCLAG00000027102.1)". Lineage: Eukaryota; Metazoa; Chordata; Mammalia; Rodentia; Chinchillidae. The record is from RNAcentral.